GGAAGGUUGGCGGAGAGGUCUAUCGCACCGGACUUGAAAUCCGGCGUGUCGGCAACGGCACCGUGAGUUCGAAUCUCACACCUUCCGCCA
Molecule: transfer RNA, 90 nt
Filed under: Betaproteobacteria bacterium
Lineage: Bacteria; Pseudomonadati; Pseudomonadota; Betaproteobacteria
Description: tRNA-Ser
Rfam family: tRNA
About the family: Transfer RNA (tRNA) molecules are approximately 80 nucleotides in length. Their secondary structure includes four short double-helical elements and three loops (D, anti-codon, and T loops).
Source: RNAcentral